AUUAAUAUAAACUUUCAACUUUAAACUUUUAAUUAUCAAACCCAAAUUCUAAUAUAUCUAAGUUGCAAUUCUAUUGAAAUCAAAACAUACAACAAAAACAUAAAUAUAAUCCUAAACUAUGGAAUCUAAUAAUAAACUAUUAAAGAAAUAGAGUGCUGAUUUCUUAUUGGUUCAUUUUGGAAUAGUGUGGUUCACCGUUUUCUGUUCCUAACCAUUGAUAAUAUUAGAUCCAACGGAUCAGAUUGAUUUGGUUUUGUUUUAACUUUUUCUUCCCUUCUCCCCUCACAAGCUCCAUCGUCUCAUCUCCUCUUUCUUUGUUUUUGACUAAGAUUAUUCUUUCUUCUCCUCACGUACUCCAUCUUCUGCUCCUCAUCUACUCUUUUUCUCCUCUUCUUCUCAAUCUCAACUUAUAUCAUUUGCUCAAUCUCCAUUCAUCUCCAUGUCUAUCCCUACUCUACCUCCAUUCACACAUGCCGUCGUUAGCAUUAGUCGCCAUUGUCGUAGAGACAAAGCCGAUUUCAUGACUCUGUGUUUCAUCCUCUUUAUUCAUCGUUUGUGAAGAAGCAAGUUUACAGAUCUGAGAAGAAGCAGACACGUCGGAGGUGGUGGCGUGACGGAGGAAACGCGCUGGAGGUGGUAUCGUGACGGAACAGACAUGCCGGAUCUGGUGGUGUGACGAAGGAAACGCAACGGAGAUGGUGGUGAAGCACGGAAGCUACGGAGGUGGAGGUGCUGAAGCCGACGGUGACAUUCCUCUGUACCCGUAUAGAUGACGAUGUAUUUGUGUAUUUUGUGUAAUAUAUAUAAUAAUAAUAAUUUAAAAACAAAAAUUAAUUUUGUUUUUU
Molecule: long non-coding RNA, 845 nt
Organism: Brassica napus (rape)
Lineage: Eukaryota; Viridiplantae; Streptophyta; Magnoliopsida; Brassicales; Brassicaceae
Exons: 2
Source: RefSeq, a predicted model, not a curated record